This 492-nucleotide ribosomal RNA is filed under the name uncultured bacterium. Its description in RNAcentral is "partial 16S ribosomal RNA". It matches the Rfam family "Bacterial small subunit ribosomal RNA", at positions 29 to 507 of the family's 1533-position model. The record is from RNAcentral.
AGUGAACGCUGGCGGUAGGCCUAACACAUGCAAGUCGAACGGCAGCACAGUAAGAGCUUGCUCUUACGGGUGGCGAGUGGCGGACGGGUGAGGCAUACAUCGGAAUCUACUUUUUCGUGGGGGAUAACGUAGGGAAACUUACGCUAAUACCGCAUACGACCUCCGGGUGAAAGCAGGGGAUCUUCGGACCUUGCGCGAUUGAAUGAGCCGAUGUCGGAUUAGCUAGUUGGCGGGGUAAAGGCCCACCAAGGCGACGAUCCGUAGCUGGUCUGAGAGGAUGAUCAGCCACACUGGAACUGAGACACGGUCCAGACUCCUACGGGAGGCAGCAGUGGGGAAUAUUGGACAAUGGGGGCAAGCCUGAUCCAGCCAUACAGCGUGGGUGAAGAAGGCCUUCGGGUUGUAAAGCCCUUUUGUCGGGAAAGAAAAGCAGCAGGUUAAUACCCCGCUGUUCUGACGGUACCCAAAGAAUAAGCACCGGCUAACUUCGUG